UACGUAGGUGGCAAGCGUUAUCCGGAUUUACUGGGUGUAAAGGGCGUGUAGCCGGGCUUACAAGUCAGAUGUGAAAUCCGGGGGCUCAACCCCCGAACUGCAUUUGAAACUGUAGGUCUUGAGUAUCGGAGAGGCAGGCGGAAUUCCUAGUGUAGCGGUGAAAUGCGUAGAUAUUAGGAGGAACACCAGUGGCGAAGGCGGCCUGCUGGACGACAACUGACGGUGAGGCGCGAAAGCGUGGGGAGCAAACAGG
Molecule: ribosomal RNA, 253 nt
Filed under: uncultured bacterium
Lineage: Bacteria
Description: partial 16S ribosomal RNA
Rfam family: Bacterial small subunit ribosomal RNA
Source: RNAcentral